UACGUAGGGUGCAAGCGUUAAUCGGAAUUACUGGGCGUAAAGCGUGCGCAGGCGGUGAUGUAAGACAGUUGUGAAAUCCCCGGGCUCAACCUGGGAACUGCAUCUGUGACUGCAUCGCUGGAGUGCGGCAGAGGGGGAUGGAAUUCCGCGUGUAGCAGUGAAAUGCGUAGAUAUGCGGAGGAACACCGAUGGCGAAGGCAAUCCCCCUGGGCCUGCACUGACGCUCAUGCACGAAAGCUGGGGAGCAAA
This 249-nucleotide ribosomal RNA is filed under the name uncultured bacterium. RNAcentral's name for it is "partial 16S ribosomal RNA". It matches the Rfam family "Bacterial small subunit ribosomal RNA", at positions 524 to 772 of the family's 1533-position model. The record is from RNAcentral.